This 497-nucleotide ribosomal RNA is filed under the name uncultured bacterium. Its description in RNAcentral is "partial 16S ribosomal RNA". It matches the Rfam family "Bacterial small subunit ribosomal RNA", at positions 28 to 507 of the family's 1533-position model. The record is from RNAcentral.
GAUGAACGCUGGCGGUGUGCCUAAUACAUGCAAGUCGAGCGAACGGACAAUAAGCUUUCUCUUCUACUGUUAGCGGGUGACGGGCGAGUAACACGUGGAUAAGCUUCUUCUUUUUCGUGGGUAACUUCGUGGGACCGCUGAUGCUAAUAGCUAAUAUUUUGAACGGGAGGAUGCAAAAGAGAUUCACGGUCUUCCUGUCUCUUUUAGCUGGAUUCGCGUUGGAUUAGUUAGUUGGUAAGGUAACGGCUUACCAAGGCUACGUUGCAUGGCCGACCUGAGAGGGUGAUGAGCCACACUGGAACUGAGACACGGUCCAGACUCCUACGGGAGGCAGCAGUAGGGAAUCUUCCGCAAUGGGCGAAAGCCUGACGGAGCCACUCCGCGUGAGUGAUGAAGGUCUUCGGGUCGUAAAACGCUGUUAGUAGGAAAGAACAUCUGCAUAUUUAUAUGUGCACAUCUUGACGGUACCUAAUCAAAAAGCACCGGCUAACUUCGUG